CCUACGGGAGGCAGCAGUGGGGAAUAUUGCACAAUGGGGGAAACCCUGAUGCAGCGACGCCGCGUGAGUGAAGAAGUAAUUCGUUAUGUAAAGCUCUAUCAGCAGGGAAGUAAAUGACGGUACCUGAGUAAGAAGCCCCGGCUAACUACGUGCCAGCAGCCGCGGUACUACGUAGGGGGCAAGCGUUAUCCGGAUUUACUGGGUGUAAAGGGAGCGUAGACGGCAGUGCAAGUCUGGAGUGAAAGGCGGGGGCUCAACCCCCGGACUGCUCUGGAAACUGUACGGCUGGAGUGCAGGAGAGGUAAGUGGAAUUCCUAGUGUAGCGGUGAAAUGCGUAGAUAUUAGGAGGAACACCAGUGGCGAAGGCGGCUUACUGGACUGUAACUGACGCUGAGGCUCGAAAGCGUGGGGAGCAAACAGGAUUAGAUACCCCGGUAGUC
This 440-nucleotide ribosomal RNA is filed under the name uncultured bacterium. RNAcentral's name for it is "partial 16S ribosomal RNA". It matches the Rfam family "Bacterial small subunit ribosomal RNA", at positions 338 to 795 of the family's 1533-position model. The record is from RNAcentral.